GGAGAAGUUCCCGAGUGGCCAAAGGGGGCAGACUGUAAAUCUGUUACUUCGGUUUCGAUGGUUCGAAUCCAUCCUUCUCCA
Molecule: transfer RNA, 81 nt
Filed under: Bacillota bacterium
Lineage: Bacteria; Bacillati; Bacillota
Description: tRNA-Tyr
Rfam family: tRNA
About the family: Transfer RNA (tRNA) molecules are approximately 80 nucleotides in length.
Source: RNAcentral